GACGAACGCUGGCGGUGUGCUUAACACAUGCAAGUCGAGCGGUAAGGCCCUUUCGGGGGGUACACGAGCGGCGAACGGGUUAGUAACACGUGGGUGACCUGCCUUUAGCUCUGGGAUAAGCCUGGGAAACUGGGGUCUAAUACCGGAUAUGACCUCAUGAUGCAUGUUGUGGGGUGGAAAGCCUUGUGCGGCUGGAGAUGGGCCCGCGGCCUAUCAGCUUGUUGGUGGGGUGAUGGCCUACCAAGGCGA
Molecule: ribosomal RNA, 249 nt
Filed under: uncultured Actinomycetes bacterium
Lineage: Bacteria; Bacillati; Actinomycetota; Actinomycetes
Description: uncultured actinobacterium partial 16S ribosomal RNA
Rfam family: Bacterial small subunit ribosomal RNA
Source: RNAcentral